GGGAAUAUGCCCUAGAGUUUGGAAUAACCACGGGAAACUGUGGCUAAUACCAAAUAUGUCGAGAGAUGAAAGAUUUAUCGCUCUAGGAUUAGCCCGCGUUGGAUUAGCUAGUUGGUGGGGUAAUGGCCUACCAAGGCGACGAUCCAUAGCUGGUUUGAGAGGAUGAUCAGCCACACUGGGACUGAGACACGGCCCAGACUCCUACGGGAGGCAGCAGUAAGGAAUAUUGGACAAUGGGCGCAAGCCUGAUCCAGCCAUGCCGCGUGAGUGAUGAAGGCCUUCGGGUUGUAAAGCUCUUUUGGCGGGGAAGAUAAUGACUGUACCCGCAGAAUAAGCUCCGGCUAACUUCGUGCCAGCAGCCGCGGUAAUACGAAGGGGGCGAGCGUUGUUCGGAAUUACUGGGCGUAAAGCGUGCGUAGGCGGUUUGAUAAGUUUGAUGUGAAAGCCCAGGGCUCAACCUUGGAACUGCAUUGAAUACUAUCAGACUAGAGUGGUGGAGAGGAAAGCAGAAUUCCCAGU
Molecule: ribosomal RNA, 519 nt
Filed under: uncultured bacterium
Lineage: Bacteria
Description: bacterial SSU rRNA
Rfam family: Bacterial small subunit ribosomal RNA
Source: RNAcentral